AAGCGGUGGAGCAUUGUGGUUUAAUUCGACGCAACGCGAAGACCUUACCUGGAUUUGACAUCCCGGGAAUCUUUCUGAAAGGAUUGAGUGCCUUCGGGAGCCCGGUGACAGGUGCUGCAUGGCUGUCGUCAGCUCGUGUCGUGAGAUGUUGGGUUAAGUCCCGCAACGAGCGCAACCCUUUAUCUUUAGUUACCAUCAUUAAGUUGGGGACUCUAAGAUACUGCCCGGUUAACGGGGAGGAAGGUGGGAUGACGUCAAGUCCUCAUGGCCUUUAUGUCCAGGGCUACACACGUGCUACAAUGGGUUGUACAAAGGGUUGCGAACUCGCGAGAGUAAGCCAAUCCCAAAAAGCAACUCUUAGUUCGGAUUGGAGUCUGCAACUCGACUCCAUGAAGCUGGAAUCGCUAGUAAUCGUGGAUCAGCAUGCCACGGUGAAUAUGUCCCUGCUCCUU
This 452-nucleotide ribosomal RNA is filed under the name uncultured Desulfobacteraceae bacterium. Its description in RNAcentral is "bacterial SSU rRNA". It matches the Rfam family "Bacterial small subunit ribosomal RNA", at positions 927 to 1382 of the family's 1533-position model. The record is from RNAcentral. Lineage: Bacteria; Pseudomonadati; Thermodesulfobacteriota; Desulfobacteria; Desulfobacterales; Desulfobacteraceae.